UACAGAGGUCUCAAGCGUUGUUCGGAUUCAUUGGGCGUAAAGGGUGCGUAGGUGGCGGGGUAAGUCAGGUGUGAAAUUUCGGAGCUUAACUCCGAAACUGCAUUUGAUACUGCCUUGCUUGAGGACUGGAGAGGAGACUGGAAUUCACGGUGUAGCAGUGAAAUGCGUAGAUAUCGUGAGGAAGACCAGUGGCGAAGGCGGGUCUCUAGACAGUUCCUGACGCUGAAGUACGAAGGCCAGGGGAGCAAACGGG
Molecule: ribosomal RNA, 253 nt
Filed under: uncultured prokaryote
Description: partial 16S ribosomal RNA
Rfam family: Bacterial small subunit ribosomal RNA
Source: RNAcentral